Molecule: ribosomal RNA, 472 nt
Filed under: uncultured bacterium
Lineage: Bacteria
Description: partial 16S ribosomal RNA
Rfam family: Bacterial small subunit ribosomal RNA
Source: RNAcentral
GACGAACGCUGGCGGCGUGCUUAACACAUGCAAGUCGAACGCUGAAGCUUGGUGCUUGCACUGGGUGGAUGAGUGGCGAACGGGUGAGUAAUACGUGAGUAACCUGCCCUUGACUCUGGGAUAAGCCUGGGAAACUGGGUCUAAUACUGGAUACGACAUGUCACCGCAUGGUGGUGUGUGGAAAGGGGUUUACUGGUUUUGGAUGGGCUCACGGCCUAUCAGCUUGUUGGUGGGGUAAUGGCUCACCAAGGCGACGACGGGUAGCCGGCCUGAGAGGGUGACCGGCCACACUGGGACUGAGAGACGGCCCAGACUCCUACGGGAGGCAGCAGUGGGGAAUAUUGCACAAUGGGCGGAAGCCUGAUGCAGCGACGCCGCGUGCGGGAUGACGGCCUUCGGGUUGUAAACCUCUUUCAGCACGGAAGAAGCGAAAGUGACGGUACGUGCAGAAGAAGCGCCGGCUAACUACGUG